AGAGUUUGAUCCUGGCUCAGGAUGAACGCUAGCGGCAGGCCUAAUACAUGCAAGUCGAACGGUAACAUGAGAGCUUGCUCUUGAUGACGAGUGGCGCACGGGUGCGUAACGCGUAUGCAACCUACCCUUUACUGGGGGAUAGCCCGGAGAAAUCCGGAUUAAUACCCCAUGGUUCCUGACCAACGAAUGUUGCGUUAGGAUAAAGAUUUAUUGGUAAAGGAUGGGCAUGCGUGACAUUAGUUAGUUGGUGAGGUAACGGCUCACCAAGACGAUGAUGUCUAGGGGUUCUGAGAGGAAGAUCCCCCACACUGGUACUGAGACACGGACCAGACUCCUACGGGAGGCAGCAGUAGGGAAUAUUGGGCAAUGGAGGCAACUCUGACCCAGCCAUGCCGCGUGCAGGAAAACAGCUUUCUGAGUUGUAAACUGCUUUUAUAUAGGAACAAAGAGGCCAUGCGUGGCAAGUUGCGUGUACUAUAUGAAUAAGCACCGCUAACU
RNAcentral lists this ribosomal RNA (498 nucleotides) under uncultured bacterium. RNAcentral describes it as "bacterial SSU rRNA". It matches the Rfam family "Bacterial small subunit ribosomal RNA", at positions 8 to 502 of the family's 1533-position model. The record is from RNAcentral.